RNAcentral lists this ribosomal RNA (447 nucleotides) under uncultured bacterium. RNAcentral's name for it is "bacterial SSU rRNA". It matches the Rfam family "Bacterial small subunit ribosomal RNA", at positions 329 to 793 of the family's 1533-position model. The record is from RNAcentral.
CGCCAGACUCCUACGGGAGGCAGCAGUGGGGAAUAUUGCACAAUGGGGGGAACCCUGAUGCAGCGACGCCGCGUGGGUGAAGGAGCACCUCGGUGCGUAAAGCCCUAUCGGCAGGGAAGAAACAGACGGUACCUGACUAAGAAGCCCCGGCUAACUACGUGCCAGCAGCCGCGGUAAUACGUAGGGGGCAAGCGUUAUCCGGAUUCACUGGGUGUAAAGGGAGCGUAGACGGCGACGCAAGUCCGGAGUGAAAGCCCGGGGCUCAACCCUGGGACUGCUCUGGAAACUGUAAAGCUGGAGUGCGGGAGGGGCAGGCGGAAUUCCUGGUGUAGCGGUGAAAUGCGUAGAUAUCAGGAGGAACACCGGCGGCGAAGGCGGCCUGCUGGACCGUAACUGACGUUGAGGCUCGAAAGCGUGGGGAGCAAACAGGAUUAGAUACCCUCGUAU